This 366-nucleotide ribosomal RNA is filed under the name Acanthamoeba sp. SGC-7. RNAcentral's name for it is "SSU rRNA". It matches the Rfam family "Eukaryotic small subunit ribosomal RNA", at positions 785 to 1086 of the family's 1831-position model. The record is from RNAcentral. Lineage: Eukaryota; Discosea; Longamoebia; Acanthamoebidae.
GUCAARCAGCAGAUCCAAUUUYGCCMCGAAUCAUAGCAUGGGAUAAUGRAUAGRCCCUGUCCUCCUAUUUUCAGUUGGUUUGGCAGCGCGAGGACUAGGGUAAUGAUUAAUAGGGAUAGUGGGGGCAUAAUAUUUAAUUGUCAGAGGUGAAAUUCUUGGAUUUAUGAAAGAUUAACUUCUGCGAAAGCAUCUGCCAAGGAUGUUUUCAUUAAUCAAGAACGAAAGUUAGGGGAUCGAAGACGAUCAGAUACCGUCGUAGUCUUAACCAUAAACGAUGCCGACCAGCGAUUAGGAGACGUUGAAUACAUACACCACCAUCGGCGCGGUCGUCCUUGGCGUCUCGGUCCUUCACGGGCCGGGCGCGGG